RNAcentral lists this ribosomal RNA (253 nucleotides) under uncultured bacterium. RNAcentral's name for it is "partial 16S ribosomal RNA". It matches the Rfam family "Bacterial small subunit ribosomal RNA", at positions 524 to 776 of the family's 1533-position model. The record is from RNAcentral.
GACGGAGGGCGCGGGUGUUACUCGUUUUGAUUGGGUGUAAAGGGUACGUAGGUGGUUUCUGGUGUUUUUGACUUAAAGCGCGGAGCGUUCCUACGCGACAGCCUUUUAUAAAGGAAACUUGAGUUGAAGAUAGAUCGGGGCAAAUUCAUGUGAAGGGGUAAAAUCCGACCAUAUAUGAAUGAACACCAGCAGGCGGAGGCGCCUUUUCGGUUUCAACUGACGCUAAGGUACGGAAGCUUCGGUAGCAAACGGG